Molecule: long non-coding RNA, 743 nt
Filed under: Helianthus annuus (common sunflower)
Lineage: Eukaryota; Viridiplantae; Streptophyta; Magnoliopsida; Asterales; Asteraceae
Description: hypothetical non coding rna
Source: RNAcentral
GUGCCUUCUUCACUUUUAGGUUUUCGCCAUCUUAGGUUUCCCCUUUUACAAGUUGACACAACUUACUUCUCUUCAAAACAAACCUGCGCACCAUCAAGAUCUGCCUUCUCCCCCAUCUUCUCUCUGGUCUCUCACACCUCCGGUCGACGGAGGAGGGAUUGCAGCGCCGGUAUACUCGGUCAGGCGAGACGCACACACCCCCACCGCCUUCGUUUUCCUCUCUCUCGCACACUGUUUUCGGCCGGAGAGUGGCAGAGCGGACGGUGCUCCGGCAAUGGCGUAGCGGCGAUGGUGAAUUUGACGGUGGUUCAGUGACGGAGACCCUCCAAAUCGACCCUUCUGAACCUACUUCUGGUAGUCGCUGAAGGUAACAUGGCUCAAGUCAACAAACUCAGGUCGCCAAUUGGCUUCUUUCCGAUUUAACCACCAUCCUCAUCGGAUGAACCGACGGUAGCCACCCUCGACAACUUAGGUAACUCUGACAACAAGUUUUCCAUCCUCUUUUUAUUUAUGAUGUAUUUUCUUUUUAUUUUAAUUUUUAUUGAUGCUUGACGUGAUGAAAAAACAGGUAAUAUAAUAUAAUCUAAUAGUCCAUUUGAUUAUGUUGAGACAGAGGCUCGAACAGAGAACUGUAUGAUGUACUUCAUGUGUCUCCUGAAGCUUCCAAUGAAGAAAUCCGUAAAGCUUAUCAUCAGUGGGCGCAAAUUUAUCAUCCUGAUAAGUAUCAGGAUCAACAGAUGAAG